This is a non-coding RNA of Ameiurus melas (black bullhead), 74 nucleotides long. NCBI's taxonomy places the organism in Eukaryota, Metazoa, Chordata, Actinopteri, Siluriformes, Ictaluridae. The record is from the annotation of a GenBank genome assembly.
GGAAGUGGUAGCUCAGUGGUUAAAACGUUGGACUUCUGAUGGGAAGGUUGUGAGUUCAAGCCUCGGCACCUCUG